UGAAAACUACCUCUCCUUGGUCCUUUGGAA
This 30-nucleotide non-coding RNA is filed under the name Rattus norvegicus (Norway rat). Lineage: Eukaryota; Metazoa; Chordata; Mammalia; Rodentia; Muridae. The record is from RNAcentral.